GCAAGAGUAGCGUGUGCCUCCAAGGAGAUUGAUCCAUAACUCAUGGCUCCAGUACAAAAACGUUUUACAAUCUCACUUGCCGGUUCAACUUCUUCUAGAGGAACUUUAACCUCUCCCUCUUUGAAUUUCAAAAGUCCCCUCAAAUUGCAUUGUCUAUUUAAUUCCUGUACACGCUUAGAAUAUUCUUUGUAGGCAGCUACACUAUUAGAUUGCGCAGCCUCCUGCAAUUUUGCAAUGGCAAAUGGAUCGUUAAGG
This 255-nucleotide unclassified non-coding RNA is filed under the name Hevea brasiliensis (rubber tree). Lineage: Eukaryota; Viridiplantae; Streptophyta; Magnoliopsida; Malpighiales; Euphorbiaceae. The record is from RNAcentral.